This is a non-coding RNA of Pelobates cultripes (western spadefoot toad), 421 nucleotides long. The record is from the annotation of a GenBank genome assembly. Lineage: Eukaryota; Metazoa; Chordata; Amphibia; Anura; Pelobatidae.
CGAAGAUUUGCGCAAGCAUUUACAGCAUGCGUUUGCUUUUGCCCAAAAGAAUCUAGAAAAAGCAGCGACAGGGGUUAAGACCUAUUACGAUUUAAAAACCACAAAAAAGGAAAAUGAGAUCACAGAUCAUGUCUAUCUGUAUAACUUUGCGCGAAAUCAAGUUAAGGAAAAUAAAUUUUUACCUUCUUGGAAAGGGCCAUGUCAUCAUUGACAAAAUUUCCCCUGUAGCGUAUAAGAUAAAAAUUCCUAAGGAUGGUGAUUUUAUUGUAAGUGGGUUCACAUUAACCAGUUGUGUGCUUGUCAUCCUAAAUCUCAAUUAAGGAUUAUAGGUGUGGAUUCGGACGCAGAAGGGUGAACGACUAACCUGGAUGAAUGCUUGAUUCACGUGGUAUCGUAUGAUGUGAAGUGUUGUGAUGUGCCA